GAUGAACGCUGGCGGCGUGCCUAAUACAUGCAAGUCGAGCGAACAGACGAGGAGCUUGCUCCUCUGACGUUAGCGGCGGACGGGUGAGUAACACGUGGAUAACCUACCUAUAAGACUGGGAUAACUUCGGGAAACCGGAGCUAAUACCGGAUAAUAUAUUGAACCGCAUGGUUCAAUAGUGAAAGACGGUUUUGCUGUCACUUAUAGAUGGAUCCGCGCCGCAUUAGCUAGUUGGUAAGGUAACGGCUUACCAAGGCAACGAUGCGUAGCCGACCUGAGAGGGUGAUCGGCCACACGGGAGCGGAGACACGGUCCAGACUCCUACGGGAGGCAGCAGUAGGGAAUCGGCCGCAAUGGGCGAAAGCUUGACGGAGCAACGCCGCGUGAGUGAUGAAGGUCUUCGGAGCGUAAAACUCUGUUAUUAGGGAAGAACAGAUGUGUAAGUAACUAUGCACGUCGUGACGGUACCUAAUCAGAAAGCCACGGCUAACUACGUG
Molecule: ribosomal RNA, 497 nt
Filed under: uncultured bacterium
Lineage: Bacteria
Description: partial 16S ribosomal RNA
Rfam family: Bacterial small subunit ribosomal RNA
Source: RNAcentral